CCCUUAGAUGUUCUGGGCCGCACGCGCGCUACACCGAUGCAUUCAACGAGCCUAUCCUUGACCGACAGGUCCGGGUAAUCUUUGAAUCUGCAUCGUGACGGGGAUAGAUUAUUGCAAUUAUUAAUCUUCAACGAGGAAUGCCUAGUAGGCGCAAGUCAUCAGCUUGCGUCGAUUACGUCCCUGCCCUUUGUACACACCGCCCGUCGCUCCUACCGAUUGGGUGUGCUGGUGAAAUGUUCGGAUCGGCCGUUUGUCGCGGUUUCCGCGGCUCGUGGCUGAGAAGUUCAUUAAACCCUCCCACCUAGAGGAAGGAGAAGUCGUAACA
RNAcentral lists this ribosomal RNA (325 nucleotides) under uncultured eukaryote. Its description in RNAcentral is "partial 18S ribosomal RNA". It matches the Rfam family "Eukaryotic small subunit ribosomal RNA", at positions 1470 to 1796 of the family's 1831-position model. The record is from RNAcentral.